This 338-nucleotide unclassified non-coding RNA is filed under the name soil metagenome. RNAcentral describes it as "partial contains 5.8S ribosomal RNA, internal transcribed spacer 2, and large subunit ribosomal RNA". The stretch from base 1 to 120 matches the Rfam family "5.8S ribosomal RNA", at positions 35 to 154 of the family's 154-position model. The record is from RNAcentral.
GAUGAAGAACGUAGCGAAAUGCGAUAAGUAAUGUGAAUUGCAGAAUUCAGUGAAUCAUCGAAUCUUUGAACGCACAUUGCGCCCGCCAGUAUUCUGGCGGGCAUGCCUGUUCGAGCGUCAUUUCAACCAUCAAGCCCCCGGCUUGUGUUGGGGACCUGCGGCUGCCGCAGGCCCUGAAAACCAGUGGCGGGCUCGCUAGUCACUCCGAGCGUAGUAAUACAUCUCGCUCAGGGCGUGCGGCGGGCUCCUGCCGUGAAACCCCCCACUGUAACCCCAAAGGUUGACCUCGGAUCAGGUAGGAAUACCCGCUGAACUUAAGCAUAUCAAUAAGCGGAGGA